AUACCUUUCUCGGCCUUUUGGCUAAGAUCAAGUGUAGUAUCUGUUUUUAUCAGUUUAAUAUCUGAUUUGUGAGCCAAUGGCUCACACGAUAUUAAAUUUUUCCCAAACCUAGUUCAAGAUUUUCAAUUCUAGAUCAAUAACACUGUUGUUCCAGUCCCAAGUAAACCACAAUUAUUAACAAAUC
This is a small nuclear RNA of Lotus japonicus, 184 nucleotides long. RefSeq annotates it as U2 spliceosomal RNA. The transcript has a single exon. Lineage: Eukaryota; Viridiplantae; Streptophyta; Magnoliopsida; Fabales; Fabaceae. The record is from RefSeq and is a predicted model, not a curated record.